Long non-coding RNA from Homo sapiens (human), 1054 nucleotides. The record is from Ensembl. Lineage: Eukaryota; Metazoa; Chordata; Mammalia; Primates; Hominidae.
UUUGGCUCUUGAUUCUUCGGGGAAAGCAGCUGUAGAGAAAUGAGAAUACAGGACCCCCUCCUCACACUCGCACACCCUGGUUCGCACGCAUUCCGGUACCCGUCACCUCGGAGCCAGCGAGACCUGGGAUCCAAAUGCGGUUCUGCCUCCUCCGGCCGUGGAGCACUGCAGUGUCGUCCUCCACGAGCCUCCCUGCCCCUGCUCCUGAUUCCCUUUCAGGAAUUUACAAACAUUUUCCCCAGAUCAAUAUCCGUAUUGAUUAUUCAUUGUGAGUGAGUCGUGUGUCUUUGGUGAUCCAGCUUGCAGAGGUAGCAGGCAAAGGCUGCUGCGGGGGAAAAAAAUAACAGAAGGCGAGAGGGACCCAGCUCUUGCUGGGUCUGCGGCUGUCGGCAACACAGAAGGGAAGAGAAAAAGAGAAAAGCACCUCAAAACCAAGGAAUGGACACGGGUGGAAGAGAAAGAGGGAGCAAUAGCAAGAAAAAAGGAAUCGAUGACUGGACAUCUGGUCCCAGGGAAUCUCGAUGGCUUGGAGGAAACCCCCAUCUUGGGUCUGCUGUUACGUGCAGGACGCAAUGGACUUUGCUCUGGGAGUGCAAAGUGACUCACAGUUUUGGUAUCUCCUACGUAAGAGCUUUGGGGGGAUUCCUUGGCUUGCUGACAGGCAAGGAAGACAGCGGCAGCAGUGAGGUAAAACACGAUUACUUCCAACUGCCUUGCGGAGGAGGCGCAGUCGUGCGGUGUGACUUGGACAGCUUGCUGCUCUCUGAUGGCACGCGGAGGGAGAAUAAUUAAAAAGGCCAGCAUCACUUACUAAGUGAGUAAACACAGAGCCGUUCCAAUCGUGCUCUCCAGCUAAUGAGAAGCUGUAAUUUCUUAUACUUCAAGGCAAGAUGAGACAGUGAUGGGUUCAGUGGAGGGUGUGUUUGCGUGGAUAUGGGGGUGGGGGGUAGUGGUGGUGGUAGAGUUAGAUCGACUAAUUGUUGGCAAUGUUUAAGAAAGGGAUUACUGGAAAAGACAGUGAAAUGAUGACAGGAAAACAUCUUGGACCAGAGCC